This is a long non-coding RNA of Homo sapiens (human), 750 nucleotides long. RefSeq lists it as uncharacterized. The transcript is spliced from 3 exons. The record is from RefSeq and is a predicted model, not a curated record. Lineage: Eukaryota; Metazoa; Chordata; Mammalia; Primates; Hominidae.
GAGUUCGUGAAGAAUGGGUAUUAAAUCUUUAGAUGUUCAGUGGAAUUCAUUCAUGAAGACAUCUGAGACUGCACUUUUCUUUCCCUGGCACCAGAGAGAUGAGAGGAGAAACCUGACAAUAUCCCCAGCCUGAGCCAUCACCAGACUCCAUCCUCCUGAGUGCCCCUGAACCAGCAUCACCGCUGAACACUCUGGAAGACCUACAGAAACUGAGAGAAGGUUCUGCAAAGAGCUGUAAGGAUGCACUGAAUAUUUGCCGUUGCGGAUGAGGCUGCUGGAGCAUUGGAGAUCCAUUCAUCAUGCCAAAGUGUAGCUCAGGGAGUCACCUCCAUGGAAAAUGUGUGCUUUCCAAACGUGGCUACCAGGUCGUUGUGGAAUUCCAUCCAGAAGCACCUUGUUCUUCCAUCGCCAUCAUUCUGGACAAGGCAGAAUCCACAUUCCCCAUAUUACUAACUUUAAAGCAGAAAUGUUACGCCUUUGCCUGUAAUUGAAAUUGUAGUCAUUUGAAAAUCAAAUAUUGCUAAAAUUUGAUGUUAGAGGGAUAGAUGAUCAAUAAUUGGGUUGAAAGAAUACUGUCUCUCAUUAAGCAAAAUGAAAAUGUUUUCAGAGAUUUGUGAAAUGUUUUGCUAUGAAGACUUUUCACUGCAAAGCACCCACUUUGUUUAAAGCAAUAAGGCAACGUGCUGGAUGAACGUAAAGAAGUUUUCAACACAGAACUUCACAAUAAAAAUGGUAAGAAAUGCACACAAA